GAUGAACGCUAGCUACAGGCUUAACACAUGCAAGUCGAGGGGAAACGAUAGAGAAAGCUUGCUUUUUCUAGGCGUCGACCGGCGCACGGGUGAGUAACGUGUAUCCAACCUGCCCAUCACUUGGGGAUAACCUUGCGAAAGUAAGACUAAUACCCAAUGACGUCUCUAGAAGACAUCUGAAAGAGAUUAAAGAUUUAUCGGUGAUGGAUGGGGGUGCGUCUGAUUAGCUUGUUGGCGGGGUAACGGCCCACCAAGGCGACGAUCAGUAGGGGUUCUGAGAGGAAGGUCCCCCACAUUGGAACUGCGACACGGUCCAAACUCCUACGGGAGGCAGAAGUGAGGAAUAUUGGUCAAUGGGCGAGAGCCUGAACCAGCCAAGUAGCGUGCAGGAUGACGGCCCUAUGGGCUGUAAGCUGCUUUUAUAAGGGAAUAAAGUGAGUCUCGUGAGACUUUUUGCAUGUACCUUAUGAAUAAGGACCGGCUAAUUCCGUGCCAGCAGCCGCCGCCG
Molecule: ribosomal RNA, 508 nt
Filed under: uncultured bacterium
Lineage: Bacteria
Description: partial 16S ribosomal RNA
Rfam family: Bacterial small subunit ribosomal RNA
Source: RNAcentral